GUGAGGAAUAUUGGUCAAUGGGCGAGAGCCUGAACCAGCCAAGUAGCGUGAAGGAAGAGUGCCUUACAGGUAAUAAACUUCUUUUCUUCGGGAGUAAUGACAUCUACGAGUUAGGUGUAGAGUAAGUACCGAAGGAACAAGCAUCGGCUAACUCCGUGCCAGCAGCCGCGGUAAUACGGAGGAUGCGAGUGUUAUCCGGAUUUAUUGGGUUUAAAGGGUGCGUAGGCGGACAGUUAAGUCAGCUGUUAAAUGACCAUGCUCAGCGUGGGAAAUGCAGUUGAAACGGACAGUCUAGAGAGUACACAAGGCAGUUGGAAUUUGUGGUGUAGCGGUGAAAUGCAUAGAUAUCACGAAGAACACCGAUAGCGAAAGCAAGCUGCCGGGGUGCGUCUGACGCUGAGGCACGAAAGUGUGGGUAUCGAACAGGAUUAGAAACCCCAGUAGUCC
RNAcentral lists this ribosomal RNA (447 nucleotides) under uncultured bacterium. RNAcentral describes it as "partial 16S ribosomal RNA". It matches the Rfam family "Bacterial small subunit ribosomal RNA", at positions 354 to 796 of the family's 1533-position model. The record is from RNAcentral.